Molecule: microRNA precursor, 69 nt
Filed under: Pteropus alecto (black flying fox)
Lineage: Eukaryota; Metazoa; Chordata; Mammalia; Chiroptera; Pteropodidae
Description: microRNA pal-mir-432 precursor
Gene: pal-mir-432
Rfam family: mir-432 microRNA precursor family
Source: miRBase by way of RNAcentral
UCUUGGAGUAGGUCAUUGGGUGGAUCCGUUAUUUCCCUCUGUGGGCCACUGGAUGGCCCCUCCAUGUCU